AUACCCUGGUAGUCCACGCUGUAAACGAUGAAUACUAGGUGUGGGAGGACUGACCCCUUCCGUGCCGCAGUUAACACAAUAAGUAUUCCACCUGGGGAGUACGACCGCAAGGUUGAAACUCAAAGGAAUUGACGGGGGCCCGCACAAGCAGUGGAUUAUGUGGUUUAAUUCGACGCAACGCGAAGAACCUUACCAGGACUUGACAUCCAACUAACGAAGUAGAGAUACAUUAGGUGCCCUUCGGGGAAAGUUGAGACAGGUGGUGCAUGGUUGUCGUCAGCUCGUGUCGUGAGAUGUUGGGUUAAGUCCCGCAACGAGCGCAACCCCUAUUGUUAGUUGCUACGCAAGAGCACUCUAGCGAGACUGCCGUUGACAAAACGGAGGAAGGCGGGGACGACGUCAAAUCAUCAUGCCCCUUAUGUCCUGGGCUACACACGUAAUACAAUGGUGGUUAACAGAGGGAAGCAAAACCGCGAGGUGGAGCAAAUCCCUAAAAGCCAUCUCAGUUCGGAUUGCAGGCUGCAACUCGCCUGCAUGAAGCUGGAAUUGCU
RNAcentral lists this ribosomal RNA (551 nucleotides) under uncultured bacterium. RNAcentral describes it as "bacterial SSU rRNA". It matches the Rfam family "Bacterial small subunit ribosomal RNA", at positions 782 to 1336 of the family's 1533-position model. The record is from RNAcentral.